This 382-nucleotide unclassified non-coding RNA is filed under the name Hevea brasiliensis (rubber tree). Lineage: Eukaryota; Viridiplantae; Streptophyta; Magnoliopsida; Malpighiales; Euphorbiaceae. The record is from RNAcentral.
ACGAUUUAGAAGCUAUAAUGAAUUUUAAGUCGAUAAUAUCUGCAGAGACUCUUCCUUUUCCUCAUCAUCAUUGAAUCCCACUACCCUUAGAAGCAAUUAAGCUAAUUAAGAUGGCCUACGUCGUUUCAGAAAGUGCCUCCUCAUCCUCUCCUCUUUUUGGAAGGUAGCGGCCUUUCAUCUAUCUAAUCUUUGGCUCAUCUGAAUAGCUUUAAAUUUGUUUGUCUGUAUAGAACUCAAUGCGCCACAUUAUUUGCGACCAAAGUGCAGCAGAAAGUGUAGAUCCAACCAUGCAACGUCACAUCCCAUGCAAAAGAAGAAAACUUCCAACAGGCUUAUCUGAUUCUACUAUUGCACAUGAAAUGGAAUCUUCACUGAAUACAUA